This 368-nucleotide ribosomal RNA is filed under the name uncultured organism. Its description in RNAcentral is "bacterial SSU rRNA". It matches the Rfam family "Bacterial small subunit ribosomal RNA", at positions 526 to 896 of the family's 1533-position model. The record is from RNAcentral.
CGUAGGUGGCAAGCGUUGUCCGGAUUUAUUGGGUUUAAAGGGUGCGUAGGCGGUUCCAUAAGUCAGUGGUGAAAUACGGCAGCUCAACUGUCGAGGUGCCAUUGAUACUGCGGAACUUGAGUACGGAUGAGGUAGGCGGAAUUGACGGUGUAGCGGUGAAAUGCUUAGAUAUCGUCAAGAACACCGAUAGCGAAGGCAGCUUACCAAGCAGUAACUGACGCUGAGGCACGAAAGUGCGGGGAUCAAACAGGAUUAGAUACCCUGGUAGUCCGCACAGUAAACGAUGAUUACUCGAUGUUGGCGAUACACAGCCAGCGUCUUAGCGAAAGCGAUAAGUAAUCCACCUGGGGAGUACGCCCGCAAGGGUG